RNAcentral lists this ribosomal RNA (253 nucleotides) under uncultured bacterium. RNAcentral's name for it is "partial 16S ribosomal RNA". It matches the Rfam family "Bacterial small subunit ribosomal RNA", at positions 524 to 776 of the family's 1533-position model. The record is from RNAcentral.
UACGGAGGGGGCUAGCGUUGUUCGGAAUUACUGGGCGUAAAGCGCACGUAGGCGGACCGGUAAGUCAGAGGUGAAAUCCCAGGGCUCAACCUUGGAACGGCCUUUGAAACUCCUGGUCUUGAGUUCGAGAGAGGUGAGUGGAAUUCCGAGUGUAGAGGUGAAAUUCGUAGAUAUUCGGAGGAACACCAGUGGCGAAGGCGGCUCACUGGCUCGAUACUGACGCUGAGGUGCGAAAGCGUGGGGAGCAAACAGG